AUUCAUUUCAUAUAAGGCCCCGGAAAACACUGAGACCUCUGUCCCAGCGGUUCCUUGUCUCUGACCUAAUCAGCAUGGCAUCUGGCCUUAAUUUUGUGAAGGAGCAAGUCAUGUAGCCCAAGGCAUCAUCCCCAGACCAGGAGGGACACAUCUGGGCUUUAGCCUUUCCAGGCAAUCAGUCAAAAGGCAAUUGUGAGAGGCAGUACCCCAGUGACCCAUUGCCCCCCAUUAGGCCCCCCACCCAGUGCAGCUCUUUCCCUCCUAGGGUCGCACCUGGUGAUGCUCUGGGAGUCCAGCUGCUCUGACCAUUCACAGGGACAAAGAAGGGGAAGGAAGGUCAUGGCUUUAGAGCUGGAGGGAACCACGGAGGUCAUUCUGACCCAACUCCUUCAUUCCAGGGAGAAGACACUGAGGACUGGAGAGGUUCAAUGAUUUAUCCAAGGUCAUAAUGGGAACCAGGGCUAGAGCUGGGAUUCACAAGGAGAGUAAAAUUUAGAAGUCCGAUCUAUCCGAACUAACCUUUGGAAUCUGCUGUGGCUUUAUGAUUUGGUUCUUCCCAUUGCUUAACCUCCAAUGGCAAAGUCUAGAGCAGUGAAGCAUCCUUACAGGCUUAGAAAACCACAAACGAACAUUAUCUAUGUUGUGUUGCAUUCUUAUUUAUGUUAUUAAAUGUUUCCUAAUUAUAUUUUCAUCUAUUUUGGGCCUCAGUUGGGAGUUUGAAGGCCAGCUUGGCAGGCCCCAGGUUUGACUCCUUUAUCAGCAACAAUUUCUUUUGUGCUUUACCAUGAACUUUGCAGACUCCCGGAUAGCAUUACCUUUACCUAAGUGAUCUCACAACAAUCCUGAGACCCCGAGGAAGACGCUGCAGGCAUUAUUACCCCCAUCGUACUGAUGAGGAAAUGGAGACCUGAGGAGAAGGGAAGUACCCAUGGUUACAUGGCUAGUUGAGUGCAAGGUUUAGCACUCUCUCCUCUGUGACACUAUGCCUGGCUGGCAUGCUCCGAUGCCAUCUCCUCCUUAGCAGCCUCCCCUAAUCUCCACCAAAAGGCCCUCUUCCUCCUCCAAUUGUUCUGAAAUGGUUUUAUCUGUUAUACUUCAAACAGUAGAGCAUCUUUCCCCUAACUCCCACCUCCACUAGAUGACGAGCUCUUUGAGGGGGAGGACUGUAUAAUUUUUCUUCUUUAGUUAUCCUCAGUGCCCAGCACAGCAUAUGCACUAGAGUAGGCUCUUAGUGGAUGCUGCAAGGCGAGAAAAGACUUUUUCUUCUUUCAGAGAGAAAAGGCUUGACUGAGGCAGGGAGAAAGAGUGACUACCCUCCAGGCCUCCCUCAGCAUUUUCUCUGUGAGGAGCAGCAUUUAAGGAGAAUGUUUCUAAAAGUUCUGAAAACACCGAGAAGCCACAGGUCCUAACAGAUAAGAAAAGCCUAUUUAUAGAAGUCUGGGUGGACUGUCAAUGGGACCAAAGUGAGUAUCUGAUACUGAGACUACAUAGAAGUGGCAUGGUUGGGAACUGCAGCGUUUUUUUUUUUUAAACUCUUACCUUGGUAUCAAUUAAUUCAUUAAUGAAUUGAGUCUUAGUAUCAAUUCUAAGAUUGAAUAGUGGCAAAGGCUGAGCAAUUGGGGUUAAGUGACUUGCCCAGGGUCACAUAUCUAGGAAGUGUCCCAGGCCAUAUUUGAACUCCAGACCUGGUGUUUUAUCUAUACCUAGUAGCUGCUCCAAAUGUUCUUGCUGACUGAAUAUUCUGAAUAGAAGAUGAUACAUGGGGAAGGGCCCAGGACUUGAAGAAAGAAGAUCUGGGCUUCAGUCCUUGGAUUCAAACCUCUGUGAAUCCAGGCUUUUAGAGUUGCGUUUCUCACCUGGCCCCUGACUUGUGGCUGCAGUGCUGCGUGUGAAGGCAGGAUGGAGACCCAAAGAGACAGGAGUGGGUGAGACUGGAUGGAUGCUGAAUUCCCUUUUGACUCUGAAACUCUGCACAUCUGUGAUCCUAUUUGUACCUGGUCAGCAUCAUUAUGAAUCACCAUUUAUUGCUCAUCAAAUACUAUUGAUUAUUCCAAAGUGGUUUUGGAAUGCCCUCUCCUCCAUGAGCUUCAGUGGUAUCCUAUGGCAGAACUUUGUUUUGUAAAUGUCUAGUUAUAUGGACAGCUAGGGAGUACUGUGUCUGGAGUCAAGAAGACAGUCUAGUCAGAAUCCAGCUUCAGAUACUUACUAGUUGUGUGGCCCUGAACAAGUCACUUAACCCUGUCUGCCUCAGUUUCCUCAUCUGUCAAAGGAGCCAGAAAAGGAAAUGGCAAACCAUUCCAGUAUCUCCCUCAAGAAAAUUCCAAAUGGAGUUGUGGAGAGUUGGACAUGACUGAAAAACAACUUACCAAUAAGUUAUUGGGUACAAGCUUCUAGAGACACUAGAAAAACACAUCCAAAGAACUGACUAUCCAGGUAUCCCCUCCCACAUCUUGGGGAGUUAGGGGUGUGAUACUCUGUCAAUUUGGAAACUCUCCAUAAAAUUUUUUGGCCCUCCCUUUGUAACAGAGAAGUCUGAAUUUUUUCUUUUUUCUUUUAUGGAGUGUUUACAGUACUUAUAUGCAUUUAUGAGUUCCUAAACCUUUAAAGAUACAUCUACAAUUCUAGCCUUUGUGUGUCAUCUGCUCACUUCAUGUUCUUUUUGCAAACUUUAACUUUUGACUUAUUUUAAUUCUAUUUUUAAAAAACCCUCACCUUCUGUCUUGGAGUCAAUACUGUGUAUUGGUUCCAAGGCAGAAGAGUGGUAAGGGCUAGGCAAUGGGGGUUAAGUGACUUGCCCAGGGUCACACAGCUGGGAAGUGUCUGAGGCCAGAUUUGAACCCAGGACCUCUGGUCUCUAGGCCUGGCUCUCAAUCCACUGAGCCACCCAGCUGCCCCCUACUUAUUUUAAUUCUAAAAAAGCAAUUGUGUACAUUUGUUAUUAGAAGAUGAAAUAUGUUGAUAUUAUACAGUGCUUGACAUAUAUUUUAUACACUUCUGAGUUUCUAAAUGUUUUCUAUGUCAUCUGCUGGCCUUUCUGUGUCAUCUGAAGCUCCUGUAAAACUUCCCCCAAAUUCCCAUUUCAUUUCUUCUGCUGAUCCGUGAUGUAUUGAAACCAUGUUGAGGUAAGUCGUGAUGUGGAAGGGAUCCCUGUACUUUGAGAUUCCCCUCUUCCUCCUCCCCCUAUUCUAGGCCUCCCUGGUCAUAAUGACUGACGUCUAAACCCAAAGCCAUUUAGAUAACUGUGUCUUUGAACCACAGAGAUUGGGCUAAGCCUCAGAAACUAAAAGUACUCUGGCAAUAUGCAAGUCCUUCACUAUGCUGGAUAAACUGCUAAAAAUUCAG
This is a long non-coding RNA of Monodelphis domestica (gray short-tailed opossum), 3342 nucleotides long. RefSeq lists it as uncharacterized. The record is from RefSeq and is a predicted model, not a curated record. NCBI's taxonomy places the organism in Eukaryota, Metazoa, Chordata, Mammalia, Didelphimorphia, Didelphidae.